UGUUGUUGUUGUUGUCGUUGUCGUUGUUGUUGUUGUUGUUGUUGUUGUUGUUGUUGUUGUUGUCGUUGUUGUUGUUGUCGUUGUUGUUGUUGUUGUUGUUGUCGUUGUUGUUGUUGUCGUUGUUGUUGUUGUUGUUGUUGUUGUUGUUCUUGUUGUUGUUCUUGUUGUUGUUGUUGUUGUUGUUGUUGUUCUUGUUCUUGUUCUUGUU
Molecule: long non-coding RNA, 208 nt
Filed under: Solanum pimpinellifolium
Lineage: Eukaryota; Viridiplantae; Streptophyta; Magnoliopsida; Solanales; Solanaceae
Description: long non-coding RNA (SPIM_LNC000181)
Source: RNAcentral